Long non-coding RNA from Daphnia pulicaria, 417 nucleotides. RefSeq lists it as uncharacterized. NCBI's taxonomy places the organism in Eukaryota, Metazoa, Arthropoda, Branchiopoda, Diplostraca, Daphniidae. The record is from RefSeq and is a predicted model, not a curated record. The transcript has 3 exons.
UGUCAGUCAUUCCAACAAGUUGACUUAGCGCUCAGUCACUUUCCAUCCAAUAGAUGAUAUGGCUGUUUCUACUUCUGUUUAGAAGGCAACCCAGUUGAGGGAAAGAGUUUCAGUGACAUGAAGAGUGUGACGUGAAUAAUGCCAUGUGUAUGCAUACACGUUCCAGUUCUGCUUGAUGCCUUACUAAAUUCAUCACCUGUAUGAUAAAAGUAAGCAUCAAUACCACCUAUCACCAUGCUACUGCAAGACUUCAUGACACCUUCUUAAGCAUCAUGGAAUUUAUCUCAACAUGAUGAGUAAUCCUGUUGGUUGCUGUGAAUUCCAAUUUUACGGUUUUUUCAUCAAGAAAAUUGCAGUGUGCUUCUUAGAAAAGAGCACAUAAGAGAUCCUUAAGCCAAUGCUGAUCAUUCUCCAUGA